AUUUAAGUAGUUUAUUAAAACAUUACAUUUUCAAUGUAAAAUUAAAGAUUUAUCUUUCUUAUUUA
RNAcentral lists this transfer RNA (65 nucleotides) under Staphylinoidea sp. 3 KM-2017. RNAcentral describes it as "tRNA-Glu". Lineage: Eukaryota; Metazoa; Arthropoda; Insecta; Coleoptera. The record is from RNAcentral.